RNAcentral lists this ribosomal RNA (463 nucleotides) under uncultured bacterium. RNAcentral describes it as "partial 16S ribosomal RNA". It matches the Rfam family "Bacterial small subunit ribosomal RNA", at positions 339 to 795 of the family's 1533-position model. The record is from RNAcentral.
CUACGGGUCGCAGCAGUUAGGGAUAUUCGGAAUGGGGGAAACCCUGACCGAGCAAUGCCGCGUGAAUGAAGAAGUAUUUCGAUAUGUAAAGUUCUGUUGUUAAGGAAGAAAGGUACGAAUAGGAAAUGAUUCGUAAUUGACGGUACUUAACCAGAAAGCCCCUGCUAACUACGUGCCAGCAGCAGCGGUAAUACGUAGGGGGCGAGCGUUAUCCGGAAUUAUUGGGCGUAAAGGGUGCGUAGGCGGCCUGUCAAGUCCGAGUUGAAAGCCCACGGCUUAACCGUGGAGGGUGCUCGGAAACUGAUAGGCUUGAAUCCAGAAGAGGCAAGUGGAAUUCUAUGUGGAGCGGUGGAAUGCGUAGAUAUAUGGAGGAACACCAGUGGCGAAGGCGGCUUGCUGGGCUGGUAUUGACGCUGAUGCACGAAAGCGUGGGGAGCAAACAGGAUUAGAUACCCCCGUAGUC